This is a long non-coding RNA of Manis pentadactyla (Chinese pangolin), 1262 nucleotides long. RefSeq lists it as uncharacterized. The record is from RefSeq and is a predicted model, not a curated record. The transcript has 3 exons. NCBI's taxonomy places the organism in Eukaryota, Metazoa, Chordata, Mammalia, Pholidota, Manidae.
GAUUUGUAAAAAAUCAUGUUUUUGAGUUACAACAUAGAUGUCACCUGACUUUCAGGAAAGUCAGAAGCAAGACCAAAUUUCAAACUUGAGAAAGGGAUCUGAGUCUUUCUAUUUCUCAAAGACACAUGACCUGGGAGCUGGAUCUGCUGCAAAUAUUGGGAAUUGAGAUGAAGAGCAAUUGAUGAGUUUUUGCUGUGCACUCCAUUUUUAUUUCAUUUCUUUACUGAAGACUAAUGGCUAUUUUUCAGGCAAGCAAGUGAAUGAAGAGCCAGAAGAGGAGAGGAAACAAACUUGUUCAACUCUUUUGCUGUGUCUUACAGUGCAUGGUGUCUUAGAUGUGACAAAUUGGGGCCACCUGUGGGUGUGAGGAGCUGCUGCAUUGUGGUUUCAGAUCUGCUUUUCCUUCAGUUUCGUGUGAGAAGGCUCUUACCAUCAGCCGUACCACUACUACUUAAUCUGUAUAAUACCAGUUUAAAGUCACCUCCUCAAAUGGUUCUCCAAUGACUUCACAGUAGGGCUAAACUCCAGGCUUUUCUCCUGCCAUGUCCCCCAAGUGCCUUCAUUCAAGUCACAAAGAGUAUCUACCCUUCCUGAUUUUUUCUCAGGUUUUUUCUCUUUCGUGCUCUUUCCCGGAUUUGGUCCUUCCGCAUGCAGUUUCAUCUGACUGGAACCCUGUUCUCUGACAUCACCACCUGACUGCCACAGUUCUCAGCAUUCAGCCCAAACAUUGCCUUUUCCAGGAAGCCUCUCCUGACCCUCAGGACUUAGCUGCUUAUACUGUGCCAAAAUGGCCAAUUUGCUUAUUAACAUCCAUCAGUUCUCCCAGGGUAGAGGCAAUUUAUGUGGUUAUCACACUGUGUAAGUUGCAAGUGUUUGUUGAAUGAAUGAGUGAUUGGGCAUAUGAAGGCAUUAGUAUGGGAGAUUUGGAAAUGGGAGCAAAGAGAGAUUUGACCGUGGGAUUUAUCUAAGAGGGCUUUUUAAUAAUAAUACUAGUAAUAAAAAUGAUGAUGAUAACAUCCUGUUUGCUUUGUUUGACUGGCUUAAGCAAAGGGUUGGUUCUGGAAAGCACGACACAAUCUUCAUUCAGUUCAAAUCCAGAGGUGGAAGAAUGUUGAGAAAUGCUCCAGGCUUAUAUGAAAAUGAGCUCCUUUAAUCAUAGCAGUUACUCAGUAGGCCACGGGGAAAGUGAUUAAAGCCGAUGAUUCACUGUAGGGUUCAGUGAGAAGUUGUUUCAGCCCUGCCUUGACGGCCAUGGGUGGAGA